Molecule: long non-coding RNA, 1132 nt
Filed under: Mus musculus (house mouse)
Lineage: Eukaryota; Metazoa; Chordata; Mammalia; Rodentia; Muridae
Description: predicted gene, 20319
Source: RNAcentral
ACAAAGACCUUUGGAAUUCUAGUAAGCUUCAAAACACUGGACCUGGGCAGAUAUCAACCCUCUAAGGGAUGAGUAGGAGAGACCCUGCUUGUCAUUGCUAGACCACCUGGGACUCUUCUUCACUGGCAUGGCCACCUGCAACUGCUUCCAGAACCUGCCCUGAGGAUACUUGGAUUUCUCUCCUUUCCAUUUAAUGACCGUGAGCACCGUCUUAGCCCGCUUCAGCUCUUUCACCUUCAUGUCCUUCACAGCUUUGUACUGCACUAAAAUGACGUUGAUGUUGCCCCGGGAGGCCAUAUUUUCUAGGCCAGCCUUGAGCUCCAGGAGGGCUUGUGUUCCCUGGAGCACGUAGUUGGGACUUAGGACAACCAGGAGUCGUCUGCUUUUCUGAAUGAAGCUCAGGGUCUCAUCUGUGACAACUGGGAAAGAAAACACCAUGGGGAUUAGUGUUGGCCAAGAACUACCUGAUUCAAAGAGGUGAAGGAUGGAAGAUAGGGAACUUGGAACGACAGCCUGGGAAACAAGGCUGAAACAGCUUUAUCAGCAACAGUCCUAGUAACUUUCUCUUUAACCACACUGUUCCUGGAAUGUCACUCUGAUGAGGAAAAAAAAAUGGAGUCAUAUAUAAAUGCCCAACUCUCCAAAUGUUUCCAAAUGACUAAAACUAAAAUAUGGUGGAAUAUGAUGGGCUGCUGUUACCCAGUUCCUCAAAGGCCCUAUUUGAACCAGAUGGAAUAGAUAUAUUGUAGUGACAUCACUUUCUUCAAAUAGUGUUGCAGCUCAGACAAAGAGGCUCCUGAAAGAAAAUACUAUCUUCUAUGAAACGUCUUCACACAAAUAUGAACUUCAGAGUCAAAGCCCCCAAGUUGCAGCUGCAGCUAACCAAGGACAACACCAGGGAAUGCCAAAUUUGAGUCUGUCUCUCUGUCUCUCUCUCUCUGUCUCUCCCUCUCCCCCUCCCUCCCUCUCUCUCUUUCUCUGCUGAUGUGUACUUUCCUGAUGCCAACUGAUGUCACUGUUGCUAGAUUAGUAACUCAAGCAAAUGGCAUCUUGGCAAGCAGUGUAUUCCCCCAUCAGCUCUUUAGUUUUCUCUGUUGUGGAGAUGAAAUAAAACAUGCAUAUUUCUCUUUAA